GAUGAAGAACGUAGCGAAAUGCGAUAAGUAAUGUGAAUUGCAGAAUUCAGUGAAUCAUCGAAUCUUUGAACGCACAUUGCGCCCGCCAGUAUUCUGGCGGGCAUGCCUGUUCGAGCGUCAUUACAACCCUCAGGCCCCCGGGCCUGGCGUUGGGGAUCGGCGGAGCCCCCCGUGGGCACACGCCGUCCCUCAAAUGCAGUGGCGGUCCCGCCGCAGCUUCCAUCGCGUAGUAGCUAACACCUCGCGACUGGAGAGCGGCGCGGCCACGCCGUAAAACACCCAACUCUUCUGAAGUUGACCUCGAAUCAGGUAGGAAUACCCGCUGAACUUAAGCAUAUCAAUAAGCGGAGGA
Molecule: unclassified non-coding RNA, 352 nt
Filed under: soil metagenome
Description: partial contains 5.8S ribosomal RNA, internal transcribed spacer 2, and large subunit ribosomal RNA
Rfam family: 5.8S ribosomal RNA (bases 1-120)
Source: RNAcentral